CAACCACCACAAACCACCAGCUAGUUCCAAAACCCAACCAAAAUUGGCAAGAUAACACCUCCAAUCCACGCUUUAACAACGAGGAGAACAAAAACUAAGACAAGAAUAGAGCUAAAGAGGGAGAGGCCGGAUCUGGUGCUGAGGAAGCCACCAAAAUCCAGCCUCCAUCUGAAUUUUUUUUUUCCUUCGGCGGCUAGGUCAAGAGAGAGGAACCAUAUAUAACUUGUAUAUUUUUUUUUGUGAAGAUCACAUAUCUACCAGUUUCGUUUAGGCUUC
Molecule: long non-coding RNA, 276 nt
Filed under: Capsella grandiflora
Lineage: Eukaryota; Viridiplantae; Streptophyta; Magnoliopsida; Brassicales; Brassicaceae
Description: long non-coding RNA (CGRA_LNC000141)
Source: RNAcentral